RNAcentral lists this non-coding RNA (973 nucleotides) under Rhizothera longirostris. RNAcentral describes it as "12S ribosomal RNA". It matches the Rfam family "Bacterial small subunit ribosomal RNA". The record is from RNAcentral. Lineage: Eukaryota; Metazoa; Chordata; Aves; Galliformes; Phasianidae.
AAAAGACUUAGUCCUAACCUUACUAUUGGUUCUUGCUAGACAUAUACAUGCAAGUAUCCGCACCCCAGUGAAAAUGCCCUAGCAUCUUUCAACACAAGUAAAAGGAGCGGGUAUCAGGCACACUAAACGUAGCCCAAGACACCUUGCUAAGCCACACCCCCACGGGUAUUCAGCAGUAAUUAACCUUAAGCAAUGAGUGUAAACUUGACUUAGCCAUAGCAAUUCUAGGGCUGGUAAAUCUUGUGCCAGCCACCGCGGUCAUACAAGAAACCCGAAUCAAUAGUCCACACGGCAUAAAGAGUGGCCAUAUGUUAUCUACAUUGACUAAGAUCGAAGCACAACUAAGCUGUCAUAAGCCCAAGAUCUGCCUAAGUCCAACCUAAAAAUCAUCUUAGCCCCAUGACUAAUUUAAACCCACGAAAGCCAGGGCACAAACUGGGAUUAGAUACCCCACUAUGCCUGGCCCUAAAUCUAGAUAUUCAUACACCCAUAUAUCCGCCCGAGAACUACGAGCACAAACGCUUAAAACUNNNNNNNNNNNNNNGUGCCCCAAACCCACCUAGAGGAGCCUGUUCUAUAACCGAUAAUCCACGAUCCACCCAACCACCCCUUGCCAAUACAGCCUACAUACCGCCGUCGCCAGCCCACCUAAAAUGAAAGACCAACAGUGAGCUCAACAGCCCUCGCUAACAAGACAGGUCAAGGUAUAGCCCAUGGGGUGGAAGAAAUGGGCUACAUUUUCUAGCAUAGAACAAACGAAAAAGAGUGUGAAACUCAUCCUUGGAAGGAGGAUUUAGCAGUAAAGUAAGACCAUACAUUUCUAAGCCUACUUUAAGAUGGCCCUGGGACACGUACAUACCGCCCGUCACCCUCUUCACAAGCUACCGACACCAAUAAAUAAUUAACCACCCCCAGGCUAGAGACGAGGUAAGUCGUAACAAGGUAAGCGUACCGGAAGGUGCGCUUAGAUCAC